RNAcentral lists this ribosomal RNA (254 nucleotides) under uncultured bacterium. RNAcentral describes it as "partial 16S ribosomal RNA". It matches the Rfam family "Bacterial small subunit ribosomal RNA", at positions 524 to 776 of the family's 1533-position model. The record is from RNAcentral.
UACGGGGGGAGCAAGCGUUGUUCGGAUUUACUGGGCGUAAAGGGCGGGUAGGCGGCCACCGCAGGUCAGUUGUGAAAUCUCCGGGCUUAACCCGGAAAGGUCAACUGAUACUGCGGGGCUAGAGUGCAGAAGGGGCAACUGGAAUUCUCGGUGUAGCGGUGAAAUGCGUAGAUAUCGAGAGGAACACCUGCGGCGAAGGCGGGUUGCUGGGCUGACACUGACGCUGAGCUGCGAAAGCUAGGGGAGCGAACGGG